Molecule: long non-coding RNA, 784 nt
Organism: Monodelphis domestica (gray short-tailed opossum)
Lineage: Eukaryota; Metazoa; Chordata; Mammalia; Didelphimorphia; Didelphidae
Source: RefSeq, a predicted model, not a curated record
GGAAGUCUGCUAACAGAGAAGAAACAGUAAAGGUGGGGGGUGUGUUGGGAGAGCACAGAGAAUGGGUUACAUAAAGCAGGCAGCUUGUAUACUGAGACCAUCCUUCGCCAUCUGCCUGCCCCACCCCUUACAAAUGUAAGAAAGUGGCAUCACCCAGGUAACAAGCUCUCCAGGGUUCUGCUAUUGCCUUUGCUUGGAAUGCUCAGCAAGUGGGGUUGAGCUCCAUUCAAUAGGCAAUGAAGAGACAGUUCAUCCCUGCCUUUCCUCUCUGUCAGUGGAAGCAGCAGCACUGGGGGUCCCUAAAAGAAUCCCAGAGGGCAUCUAGUCCAACGCAUGCCUGACCAAGGAUCCCUUCUCCAGCAUAGCCAACAAAUGGACCCCUGGCUUCUGUUUGAAGACUUCCUGUUUUCAAGGAAGAUGGAGACUUACUACCUUGAGAGAGGAGAUGGCUACCUUUAGCUCCCAGCCUGAUUACUUAAAGUAAUACAGAGACUCUGACUCUUCCAUCUUCCUGAGGUGACGGAGAUGCAUUGGCUGCCAAGCAGUGAACACCAGGAAACGAAAUUCAAUUGGAAAAAAGUCCACUCGGUUUUAACGCUUCCUUCAGCACCCAAAAAACAAUCUGCAAGUUAAAACCUGUCCAGAAAAAGCUCUUUUAUUAACUGUGCCAUGAACAGCCAAUGAAGAAGGGAGGAAAAAACCAACAUAAUCACACCCUCGGGGGCAGGGGAAAAAUCAAUUCUUUGAAUGUUGCAUUGUUCCCAAAUAAAACCCAUUUUUACAA